RNAcentral lists this long non-coding RNA (1136 nucleotides) under Cricetulus griseus (Chinese hamster). RNAcentral's name for it is "lncRNA (ENSCGRG00015036726.1)". Lineage: Eukaryota; Metazoa; Chordata; Mammalia; Rodentia; Cricetidae. The record is from RNAcentral.
UGCGUGGGGGAAGACAGGGUUUGUGCCAGCAACCCCAGAACUGUGCAAACACCGGGCAGCUGUACUUUGGUGAAGGCUCCAAGCUGACAGUGCUGGGUAAGCAGGGCAGGUGGAGGGGUACUGGGGGGGUGGUUAAGAUGGACAGAGUAGGAAAGCAGCUCAGCUUCCUCUUGGCCUGAGCUGACCUGCUAUGGCAGGGAAUUCUGCGAUCAAGAGAACACUCACGGUUGAUGGGGAGCUGAGCCGGGGCUGGGAUAGCAGGAGUGGGCAGCACCGGGUUUUUGCCCUGAGUCUGGAGGCUGUGAGCACAGAAACUCAGUAUUUUGGCCCUGGAACCAAACUGACCGUGCUCGGUAAGUUUGGAGCUAGUGAUAGGGGUGGGGGUAGCGGGACAUCUCCUUACCGGGGAUUUCCAGGUAAGGAUGGCCAGGGCCAGUUUUUGUGCUGUACCAAGGGGCUGUGAGCCAAAACACCUUGUACUUCGGUGCAGGCACCCGACUCUCAGUGCUAGGUGAGUCGGGGUGUUUUUGUGCUGGGCUCUGGUGCUGUGAACCAAGAUACCCAGUACUUUGGGCCAGGCACGCGGCUCCUCGUGUUAGGUGAGCUGGGGACCCGAGCGUGACGGUGGCGGCGGGCUGGGGCUGCAGUGGGCUCGGGUGCCUUGGAUGGGUUUCUGUGGGGCGUCACCCGGUUAUGCUUCGCAGCCCUUGCCUUAACUUUACGUGAGUUUCUUGGCAACUGCUGCGGCUCGAGCCCCAGGGCUGCUGGCGUCUUUGCACUGGGGUCCCUGGCCCUGCGGGAGGCUGGGUAACAGGGAGAUUGUCCUGAAGCAGGGGACUAGCUCCCUGCAUUGCGCGGGUUUGCGUGUGGGGUUGCGCCUCUGUGCUCCUAUGAGCAGUAUUUCGGUCCGGGCACCAGGCUCACGGUCUUAGCUCCGGAUACAGAUAACCCAGCUACAGCAGGAUAUUCUGGAUUCUUCUAUCAGUUCUGGAAGUCAGUGCUGUAAUUCCUCUUUGCAAGCAGAAAACAAAACAAACGAACAAAAAGCCGAUGCAGAGCCAUUAAAGAGACUCUCUCAUGAGCACAUGGGCAUGGAAGGUCAUUGCUGAGAUUCAGUUUCUGUAAUUCAAAUUUCU